RNAcentral lists this ribosomal RNA (637 nucleotides) under Hepatozoon canis. RNAcentral describes it as "bacterial SSU rRNA". It matches the Rfam family "Eukaryotic small subunit ribosomal RNA", at positions 197 to 822 of the family's 1831-position model. The record is from RNAcentral. Lineage: Eukaryota; Apicomplexa; Hepatozoidae.
GAGGAAGCAUUUAUUAGAUAAAAAGCCAAUGCAUGCUUUUACAGUAUGAAAAUUGGUGAUUUAUAAUAACUUAGCAAAUCGUAAAGUGAAAACAGACGAUAAAUCAUUCAAGUUUCUGACCUAUCAGCUUUCGACGGUAUGGUAUUGGCUUACCGUGGCAGUGACGGUUAACGGGGGAUUAGGGUUCGAUUCCGGAGAGGGAGCCUGAGAAACGGCUACCACAUCUAAGGAAGGCAGCAGGCGCGCAAAUUACCCAAUUCUAACAGUUUGAGAGAGGUAGUAACAAGAAAUAACAAUACAAGGCAGUUAAAAUGCUUUGUAAUUGGAAUGAUAGAAAUUUAAACCCUUUUUAAAGUAUCAAUUGGAGGGCAAGUCUGGUGCCAGCAGCCGCGGUAAUUCCAGCUCCAAUAGCGUAUAUUAAAAUUGUUGCAGUUAAAAAGCUCGUAGUUGAAGUUCUGCUAAAAGUAACCGGUCUGCUUUUAAUAAAAGUGGUAUCUUGGUAUGUAUUUAGCAAUGAUGUCCUUUGAAGUGUUUUUUACUUUAUUGUAAUAAAGCAUAUUCAGGACUUUUACUUUGAGAAAAUUAGAGUGUUUCUAGCAGGCCGACGCUUUGAAUACUGCAGCAUGGAAUAAUAAGA